Molecule: ribosomal RNA, 467 nt
Filed under: uncultured bacterium
Lineage: Bacteria
Description: partial 16S ribosomal RNA
Rfam family: Bacterial small subunit ribosomal RNA
Source: RNAcentral
GACGAACGCUGGCGGCGUGCUUAACACAUGCAAGUCGAACGGAAAGGCCCUGCUUUUGUGGGGUGCUCGAGUGGCGAACGGGUGAGUAACACGUGAGUAACCUGCCCUUGACUUUGGGAUAACUUCAGGAAACUGGGGCUAAUACCGGAUAGGAGCUCCUGCUGCAUGGUGGGGGUUGGAAGUUUCGGCGGUUGGGGAUGGACUCGCGGCUUAUCAGCUUGUUGGUGGGGUAGUGGCUUACCAAGGCUUUGCCGGGUAGCCGGCCUGAGAGGGUGACCGGACACAUUGGGACUGAGAUACGGCCCAGACUCAUACGGGAGGCAGCAGUGGGGAAUAUUGCAAAAUGGGCGGAAGCCUGAUGCAGCAACGCCGCGUGCGGGAUGACGGCCUUCGGGGUGUAAACCGCCUUCGCCUGUGACGAAGCGUGAGUGACGGUAAUGGGUAAAGAAGCACCGGCUAACUACGUG